GUCUAUGGUCAUACCAUCCUGAAUGUGCCUGAUCUCAUCUGAUUUUGGAAGCUAAGCAGGGUAGAGCCUGGUUAGUACUUGGAUGGGAGAAAAUAAAGUUUGUCCAGAUU
This 110-nucleotide ribosomal RNA is filed under the name Prolemur simus (greater bamboo lemur). The record is from RNAcentral. Lineage: Eukaryota; Metazoa; Chordata; Mammalia; Primates; Lemuridae.